GCUCGUUACCGGCAGUGAGCACCACCUGAGGAUGGCUCUGCUCCAGCACAAAAAGCUCGUCUUUUCCAACCUUGGAACUCUUUCCUGACUUCAUGGUUCCACUCGGACCAGAAGGCGCCAGUUGCAAUAUACCUGCCCAGGUGACUCUUCAAGAAGACCCUGUUGGUGUCGUCCCCGUCCUGCUCCAAGGUCCAGAUCUGUUUUUUCUUCAUGCUGGUGGCAGAGGCAUUUAUCUUAAACCCAAAUGUUUCAGCGCGCUGGAAUUGUUCUGAACUGCAGUCUCAGACAGCCUGGAUCCCAAGUCACAGCUGCAGCUUUUAUACAGAUGGAUGAUGUCAGUCUGGCUGCCCCGCCUCCGAUUGAAACGGGAGUUUUCAGAGAACUGCAGCAAAAAAAAAAAAAAAACCUCUAUGCUGACUAAACGCUAUCAGCGUCUCGAGUAAACGUUAUCAGCAUCUUGUCCUCUAACUGCACAGAGGACAGAUAAAUGCAAAUCAAGUAGGCGUAGCACGAAUCUGCUGUUAUUUUCUACGCGUAGAAUGGCGAAUUCAGAUGUGAGGACGGUGCUGCCGCCAAGUAA
Molecule: long non-coding RNA, 580 nt
Organism: Conger conger (European conger)
Lineage: Eukaryota; Metazoa; Chordata; Actinopteri; Anguilliformes; Congridae
Exons: 3
Source: RefSeq, a predicted model, not a curated record